RNAcentral lists this ribosomal RNA (451 nucleotides) under uncultured bacterium. RNAcentral describes it as "bacterial SSU rRNA". It matches the Rfam family "Bacterial small subunit ribosomal RNA", at positions 8 to 450 of the family's 1533-position model. The record is from RNAcentral.
AGAGUUUGAUCAUGGCUCAGGAUGAACGCUAGCUACAGGCUUAACACAUGCAAGUCGAGGGGCAGCAUCAUCAAAGCUUGCUUUGAUGGAUGGCGACCGGCGCACGGGUGAGUAACACGUAUCCAACCUGCCGACAACACUGGGAUAGCCUUUCGAAAGAAAGAUUAAUACCGGAUGGCAUAGUUUUCCCGCAUGGGAUAAUUAUUAAAGAAUUUCGGUUGUCGAUGGGGAUGCGUUCCAUUAGGCAGUUGGCGGGGUAACGGCCCACCAAACCUACGAUGGAUAGGGGUUCUGAGAGGAAGGUCCCCCACAUUGGAACUGAGACACGGUCCAAACUCCUACGGGAGGCAGCAGUGAGGAAUAUUGGUCAAUGGACGAGAGUCUGAACCAGCCAAGUAGCGUGAAGGAUGACUGCCCUAUGGGUUGUAAACUUCUUUUAUACGGGAAUAAA